Molecule: ribosomal RNA, 468 nt
Filed under: uncultured bacterium
Lineage: Bacteria
Description: partial 16S ribosomal RNA
Rfam family: Bacterial small subunit ribosomal RNA
Source: RNAcentral
GAUGAACGCUGGCGGCGUGCUUAACACAUGCAAGUCGAACGGAAAGGCCCAAGCUUGCUUGGGUACUCGAGUGGCGAACGGGUGAGUAACACGUGGGUGAUCUGCCCUGCACUUUGGGAUAAGCCUGGGAAACUGGGUCUAAUACCGGUUAGGACCACUUCUUGGAUGUUGUGGUGGAAAGUUUUUUCGGUGUGGGAUGAGCUCGCGGCCUAUCAGCUUGUUGGUGGGGUAAUGGCCUACCAAGGCGUCGACGGGUAGCCGGCCUGAGAGGGUGUACGGCCACAUUGGGACUGAGAUACGGCCCAGACUCCUACGGGAGGCAGCAGUGGGGAAUAUUGCACAAUGGGCGCAAGCCUGAUGCAGCGACGCCGCGUGGGGGAUGACGGCCUUCGGGUUGUAAACUCCUUUCGCUAGGGACGAAGCGUUUUUGUGACGGUACCUGGAGAAGAAGCACCGGCUAACUACGUG